GGCUUCAUUUCUAUCAUCUUUACUUGGACAGUGUGUUAUUUUCUCUCUCCAACUCAACUUUCUGUUAAUCUGUUGAUUUUCCCUUUUUUCAAUCAAAUGCAUAACUGAAAUCAAAAUUGAUGAAAUUCAAAGAGGAAAUUCGUGGAGGAGCUUACGAUAGAAUGAUUUUUGCUUCAAUUAUGUCAAAUCGGAUUUUCUUUCUCCAUUUUUUUCAGUUCGACCUAGGGUCUAAGUUACUUGUAUUCCUCUUCGAUCUUUUUUCUUACAGACCUCGUAAAUGUAUUUUUAUUUUUGAAAUUUUUUAUCUGUCUUUUUUAUUAAAUUCUCAAUUUGGUGUUUUAUUUGAUUUGCAUAUCUGAAACUUUUUCUUGCAUGGUAGCUCAAGUUUAGUAGCUCAACUCUACAAUGGUAUCUCAUGUGUAGACUGGAGCUUUACAUCUAGAUGUAAAGACAUUGAACUACUUCGGAAAACAUAUUUUCAUAGAUCUUGUUCUAACUAUUGUCGUCGAGGUUGUUUUUGUUGGUAGGGUGGGGUAUUGGUUGCUGAGAUUACCUUGAUUCCAUUUUAAUUUUUGUGCAAAUAAAAAAAUGAGAAUGCCUUGAUUCCAUUUUGAUUUUUCAAAUAAAAAGAUGGGAACUGCUCUGGCUGUGGUAUGUUGUUUUCACCACAGUUUUCAUUGUUCUUUCAAUUAGUGAAAAGUAAAAUUUCUUAACCCAUUCUUUCUUGUACAUUGUUAGUUGGUGUAUGUUGGUCCUGAGUUUGUUCAUCCUUAUUUUAGGCUUCUAAUUAUCGCGAAAAAAUUCGGUUCUAGUAGAAAUUCUUAGUUAUGCGUUGCUUAACUUUCAUCAUUAUUGUGUUGUUUGGAGUUUAAUCUCAUGAUUAUGAUGGUGGUUAUCAGAAAUAGACACAGGCCCAACGAUUUAAUAGUAGAGCAUUGUGAUGUUAACAACACAAUCUACAGGUGAAAAUGAGUGAAAGAGAAAGAAUUUUAUUGAACCUACAUAAAUCCUUAGUGAUGGUUACUUCCGGUGAAAAUCAGGUAAAAUGUUACUUUUUUACUAUUUAGUCAUUUGAGGGUAUAGGUGCCGGUCACCUCAUCUCCUUUCUUACCUGCCCUUAUUAGUAGCAGACAACUUUUUUUCUCGCUUUUCGUUCAAUUUUUCUAGAUAAAGGUUGGGUGGUGUAGGUUGGAACCGCAUUUUGGUGAAUUGCUUGCUUGAGUUAGAGUGGAUUGAAUUGAUGCUACACCACCUCUAUACAUGAUUCGUUUGCUUUGACAUAUGACCAGUAUUUGGGGUGCAUAUUUACUUCACCUUCCUAAGCUGUUAUUCGGUUCCCCUUCCCAUUUUUCCUAAGCUUUUAUCCGAUUCUUCUUUUUUUCUUUUCCAUUUAUUUAUUGUGGUAGGGAUCCUCAAAGAAAGUGCAAGUUUCUACUGUCUACAUUGUUAUAAUACUAAGAGAUUUUAUCUCCAAAACAGCAAGUGAUGGUUGUGAGUGAAGGUUUUUCCUUAUUUUUUUUAAUGUCUCUCUUUUUUCGGUGAGGACUUGUUAAAGUUUAUGCAGUCAACAAAAUGCUAGCUUCCGUACAAUGAUUUUCCUGAUAAACGCUAUGGAAGACUUAUGAAAUAAAAAUAGAAUUGCCUCACCUGUGAAAUUUUAGCUUCUAUGUAAAUUAUGAUGUGCUUUUGACUUUCGAGAUGUGGAUUUUAUUUUCUUCUGUUUGCACCCACCUAUGAUUAUUCUUCUGUUGUGGGCUUAUUUUGCUCCAUGCUACAACUUGAUCUUCAUCAGAAAAAAAUUUCUUCAUAAGAAAAGAAGCUGAUCAAAAGUCAAACUUUCUCUAUUUCAUAUAAAACCUCGUUUAGUUUUUGCAUAUUAUUACUGCAUUGUUGUGUGCUGUGGCUUUCAUGAGAUGACAAUCUUGCAAUAGGAACAACCCUUUCUCUUUUGUAAAAUGAAAUUGGAGAAAUCUUUUAAAUGAAAGGAACAAAAAGGGUGAGAACCAAAGAUCUAUUCAGAAACGUGCUUCAACAUUUUUGCACUGCAGUAUUGUAAGGAUUAAGAAGUAUGUAUGCGUUCAUGUCAAAAAAAUUUAUCCUUGAGAUUUGAUAAUAGAUUGCAUAAGACGUUUCUUCAAAACUGUUGAGAUGAGGAUAUGAAGACAGUGUAAGUUUUGAUAAACUUGAAGUAUGGGAGUCAGUCGCAGACAGAGCUAGUAUUUUUCUCUCUCUGCAAAGCUUAAAGAGGUGUAGAUGUCUUUCUUCUUAGGCUUUUGCUAUUGAAACUUACAAAAACAAACCCAUUCACAUAUAAAAAGUUGUAGCAUCCAGUCAAAAGGAAUACCUAGCAUCUGUUUUUCAUUAUUCUCACAUACAUAAAAUGAACUUCUGUUAUUGUUUCAACCUUCUUGUCUGUUUUUUUCCUUUUUGUCUGAAAAAUGAAACUUAUGAUUAUUUCGGGUUCUAAUUUAAAAUUUAAUUGGCUAGACUUUCCAUGACUGAGUAAAUGAUGGUCAAAGGGCUCACAAAGUAUGAGUACAAACAGAUCACUCCAAACCUGCCAAGAGCAGUUAAUAGGAGGAUGGUGUCCUCGAUAAUGCUCCAAAUUAAAAUCACUAUUUACUACAAUAAACAAAUUCAGAUGCAGUCUUGAGCUGAACGAAGAUAGUAGAGUGACGAUAAAUAUCCAUUUAUAGUGUAAUAGAGAUGCUACAUGUAGCGGUAGAUUAAUUUGUGUAAAUGUCAUGUUCUUUGUUAGGGACUAACGGGCUAGCUGUUUUCUAUUGCUUAGAAAUCUCUAAUGGAAUCUUAAUGAUUUAAUUCCAGUCUUUCAUAAAUGUUGUUUUCGCACUUUGUGGUGCUGGUGAUUCGGUUGUUAUGUUUGCACCAUACUAUUUCAAUGCAUACAUGUAAUUCCAAAUGACAGGUGUUACCGAUAUUCUGGCGGGUUCUGUUGAUGCAAAGACACUUCAGCCUGAUGCAAGUGCAGUGAGUUUCUUUAUGUGCCGUAGGAGGGGUUGCUAAAUUGUUUUCUCAUACAACAGGAAAGACAAGAAAAGAGAAGAGGUGUUCAUCAAUCUACAAACACAAAAGUUAUUUAUCCAUGAUUUAGAUGAUUAAUCCCCAUUCAAAUGAAUGAAAGAAGGAAGAAGAUUGAGAUAUGGUUAUGAAUGAAGGGAGGAUGCUACAGAACAAUUUGUGAAGUGUUACGUUUAGGGUUCUUUUUGUUCUUAAAGAAGUGUUUGUUGUUGUAAUACCAUAAAUGCCCUUGACUAUGUUGACAGAUCUGUUAAAAUUACAAAUUGCCGUUACUUAAAGGAUUAAAAUCAUUUACUUUGA
This is an RNA transcript of Capsicum annuum, 3339 nucleotides long. RefSeq lists it as uncharacterized. Lineage: Eukaryota; Viridiplantae; Streptophyta; Magnoliopsida; Solanales; Solanaceae. The transcript has 2 exons. The record is from RefSeq and is a predicted model, not a curated record.